Molecule: signal recognition particle RNA, 300 nt
Filed under: Callithrix jacchus (white-tufted-ear marmoset)
Lineage: Eukaryota; Metazoa; Chordata; Mammalia; Primates; Cebidae
Description: Metazoan signal recognition particle RNA (ENSCJAG00000085523.1)
Rfam family: Metazoan signal recognition particle RNA
About the family: The signal recognition particle (SRP) is a universally conserved ribonucleoprotein. It is involved in the co-translational targeting of proteins to membranes.
Source: Rfam by way of RNAcentral
GCCGGGUGCGGUGGCGUGUGCCUGUAGUCCCGGCUACUCGGGAGGCUGAGGCUGGAGGGUCGCUUGAGCCCAGGAGUUCUGGGCCGUAGUGCACUAUGCCGAUCGGGUGUCCGCACUAAGUUCGGCAUCAAUAUGGCGACCUCCCAGGAGUGGGGGACCACCAGGUUACCUAGGGAGGGGUGAACCAGCCCAGGUCGGAAACGGAGCAGGUCAAAACUGCCGUGCUGAUCAGUAGUGGGAUCGCGCCUGUGAAUAGCCACUGCACCCCAGCCUGGGCAACAUAGUGCGAACCUGCUUCUU